GCUAGGUGUGCUGGUGCACACCUGUAAUCCAAGCUACUUGGGAGGCUGAGACAGGAGAAUCGCUUGAACCCAGGAGACAGAGGUUGCAGUGAGCUGAGAUGGCACCACUGCACUCCAGCCUGGGCGACAGAGUGAGACUCUGUCUCAA
Molecule: non-coding RNA, 148 nt
Filed under: Gorilla gorilla gorilla (western lowland gorilla)
Lineage: Eukaryota; Metazoa; Chordata; Mammalia; Primates; Hominidae
Source: Rfam by way of RNAcentral